GAUUAGGUAGUUGGCGGUGUAAUGGACCACCAAGCCGUUGAUCCGUACGGGCCAUGAGAGUGGUAGCCCGGAGAGGGACACUGAGAUACUGGUCCCAGCCCUACGGGGUGCAGCAGGCGCGAAACCUUUACAAUGCACGCAAGUGUGAUAAGGGGAUCCCCCGUGCUCAUGCAUUGCAUGGGCUUUUGCCUAGUGUAAAUAGCUAGGCGAAUAAGUGGUGGGAAAGACUGGUGCCAGCCGCCGCGGUAACACCAGCGCCACGAGUGGUGACCACGUUUAUUGGGCCUAAAGCGUCCGUAGCCGGUUUGUGUAAGUCUUUUGUGAAAUUGUUGGGCUUAACCCAACAGCGUGCAAGAGAUACUGCCGGACUCGAGACCGGGAGGAGUCAGAAGUAUUCCAGGGGGAGCGGUUAAAUGUUAUAAUCCCUGGAGGACUACCUGUGGCGAAGGCGUCUGACUAGAACGGCUCUGACGGUGAGGGACGAAAGCCAGGGGAGCGAACCGGAUUAGAUACCCGAGUAGUCCUGGCCGUAAACGCUGUGAGCUAGGUGUCGCGUCAACUACGCGUUGGCGCAGUGUCGAAAGGAAGCUGUUAAGCUCACCGCCUGGGAAGUACGGUCGCAAGACUGAAACUUUAAGGAAUUGGCGGGGGAGCAC
RNAcentral lists this ribosomal RNA (656 nucleotides) under uncultured archaeon. RNAcentral describes it as "bacterial SSU rRNA". It matches the Rfam family "Archaeal small subunit ribosomal RNA", at positions 223 to 879 of the family's 1478-position model. The record is from RNAcentral.